This 421-nucleotide ribosomal RNA is filed under the name uncultured archaeon. RNAcentral describes it as "partial 16S ribosomal RNA". It matches the Rfam family "Archaeal small subunit ribosomal RNA", at positions 323 to 746 of the family's 1478-position model. The record is from RNAcentral.
CUACGGGAGGCAGCAGUUAGGAAUAAUCUACAAUGCGCGCAAGCGUGAUAGUUUGAGCCAGAGUGUUUUUCAAUUGAAAGACUUUUGUGAAAUGUAAAAAGUUUCACGAAUAAGGACUGGGUAAGACUAGUGCCAGCCGCCGCGGUAAUACUAGCGGUCCGAGUCGCAGCCAUUUUUAUUGGGUCUAAAACAUCCGUAGCUUGCUUGAUAAGUCUUCUGUGAAAUUUUACGUCUAAAACGUAGAGCGCGCAGAAGGUACUGUCGAGCUAGAGACAGGUAGACGUAAGAAGUACAUUCAGAGUAGCGGUUAAAUGUGUUAAUCCUGGAUGGACUAACAAGAGCGAAGGCAUCUUACGAGAACUGUUCUGACAGUAAGGGAUGAAAGCUAGGGGCGCAAAUGGGAUUAGAUACCCGCGUAGUC